RNAcentral lists this ribosomal RNA (272 nucleotides) under uncultured Staphylococcus sp. Its description in RNAcentral is "partial 16S ribosomal RNA". It matches the Rfam family "Bacterial small subunit ribosomal RNA", at positions 90 to 354 of the family's 1533-position model. Lineage: Bacteria; Bacillati; Bacillota; Bacilli; Caryophanales; Staphylococcaceae. The record is from RNAcentral.
CGUUAGCGGCGGACGGGUGAGUAACACGUGGGUAACCUACCUAUAAGACUGGGACAACUUCGGGAAACCGGAGCUAAUACCGGAUAAGAUAUCGAACCGCAUGGUUCGAUAGUGAAAGAUGGUUUUGCUAUCACUUAUAGAUGGACCCGCGCCGUAUUAGCUAGUUGGUGAGGUAACGGCUCACCAAGGCAACGAUACGUAGCCGACCUGAGGGGGUGAUCGGCCACACUGGAACUGAGACACGGUCCAGACUCCUACGGGAGGCAGCAGGG